ACAGCUGUGGUUCUAUCACCUUGCACCUGCCGAGCCAGGUUUCCAGCCAAUCAUCACUGCUUAUAAUCUCCCGCCACCGGCAGUAGGUCUGAUAAGGUGUUUGUUGAGUGGAAGGGGAAGGGACUGGCCACAAUUGAAGACAUAUAUAGAUAAGCAAUUAGCAUCAUUCAUCCAAUUAAAGAAUACAUUCAAACUCUCUCAAUCAUAUGUUAUGUUAUUUACAAGUCAGACACUAUAUCAAAAGGGAAAAUUCAAAAUGUUGAUACCCUCCCUGUACAACAUUCGUUUUGGUCCGCUACAGCGCCCUCCCGACUCAAAACACCUCAUCUCACAGUUUGUCUCCAGCUACACAGAGGCCUCUACUAGUCAUCUCAAGGAGAAAUGGGGUAAAGAGUUCAAUAUUGACAUCUCAGAUGAUCUAUGGGGAGAAGCCCUGUCUAGAAUCACUCCUGUUCCAUCAAUGAAAAUAUCAAUUAAUACAAUACAAAGUCAAAGCCAAAACCAAAUGACAUAUAAUUUAACACCAGGUCUCCUCACUGUGUGACAAAUGAGGAGGAUUCAUUAACUCAUCUUUUUUGGCUCUGCCCCCUAAUUAAUCAUUUUUGGAGGAACGAUUGGUAUUCAAAGGUAUAUGAGAAGGACAUUGAACCUGACCCCGAACUUGCUCUCUUUCGGUGCUCAGUCUAUUCUAAGAUAGUCCUAUGAGGAACAACAGGCUCUGAUGUUUGGAAUGGUGGCUGCAAAACAAAUGAUCCUCACAGAAUGGAAGUUAGCCAUCCCCCCCUUGCUUCCGUAGAUGGCAAGCAGAAAAGAUUAACAUCAUAAACAUUUUUUUUUUAAACAUUUUAAAUCAGGACUAACUCCUCCAGAAGAUUUUUCAAAAGUUGGGGUCCGUUUCCUGUCUUUCUGGACUGAUUGUGAACACUGAUUAGGAACACAUUUUUUGUUGUAACUGUUAUAGUGUUCUUCUAUUUUUGUCCCAUGUCUUGCUGAGGCAAUACUUCACUUCACAAGUCAGGUAGCUGUUUUUUUUGUUAUUUUUGUGUUUUUGUUUUGCACUCAUUUGUAAAAGAAAAUCAUUUGAAAAAAUAAUAAUAACAAUUUGAAUUAAAAUAAAAUAAAAUAUAUAUAGGGAACACACAUUAUGAACUAACUGUGUCUGAAUGUAAACAUAAUUAGGAUGAAUGUGUUCCCCUCUACCCUAGUGUUAAUUACUAUUACAUAUUAAAGAACUGGCAGUACA
This is a long non-coding RNA of Oncorhynchus gorbuscha (pink salmon), 1243 nucleotides long. RefSeq lists it as uncharacterized. The transcript is spliced from 2 exons. The record is from RefSeq and is a predicted model, not a curated record. Lineage: Eukaryota; Metazoa; Chordata; Actinopteri; Salmoniformes; Salmonidae.